UACGUAGGGGGCAAGCGUUGUCCGGAUUUAUUGGGCGUAAAGAGCGUGUAGGCGGCCAGACAGGUCCGUUGUGAAAACUCGAGGCUCAACCUCGAGACGCCGAUGGAAACCGUCUGGCUAGAGUCCGGAAGAGGAGAGUGGAAUUCCCGGUGUAGCGGUGAAAUGCGCAGAUAUCGGGAAGAACACCAACGGCGAAAGCACUCUGCUGGGCCGACACUGACACUGAGAGACGAAAGCUAGGGGAGCGAAUGGG
RNAcentral lists this ribosomal RNA (253 nucleotides) under uncultured bacterium. RNAcentral describes it as "partial 16S ribosomal RNA". It matches the Rfam family "Bacterial small subunit ribosomal RNA", at positions 524 to 776 of the family's 1533-position model. The record is from RNAcentral.